This 397-nucleotide ribosomal RNA is filed under the name uncultured bacterium. Its description in RNAcentral is "bacterial SSU rRNA". It matches the Rfam family "Bacterial small subunit ribosomal RNA", at positions 28 to 430 of the family's 1533-position model. The record is from RNAcentral.
GACGAACGCUGGCGGCGUGCUUAACACAUGCAAGUCGAGCGGUAAGGCCCUUUCGGGGGUACACGAGCGGCGAACGGGUGAGUAACACGUGGGUGACCUGCCUUUAGCUCUGGGAUAAGCCUGGGAAACUGGGUCUAAUACCGGAUAUGACCCUAUGGCGCAUGUUGUGGGGUGGAAAGCCUUGUGCGGCUAGGGAUGGGCCCGCGGCCUAUCAGCUUGUUGGUGGGGUGAUGGCCUACCAAGGCGACGACGGGUAGCCGGCCUGAGAGGGCGACCGGCCACACUGGGACUGAGACACGGCCCAGACUCCUACGGGAGGCAGCAGUGGGGAAUCUUGCGCAAUGGGCGAAAGCCUGACGCAGCGACGCCGCGUGAGGGAUGACGGCCUGGUGUAACU